This 202-nucleotide RNase P RNA is filed under the name Candidatus Dormiibacterota bacterium. RNAcentral describes it as "partial RNase P RNA component class A". It matches the Rfam family "Bacterial RNase P class A", at positions 186 to 367 of the family's 367-position model. Rfam says of the family: Ribonuclease P (RNase P) is a ubiquitous endoribonuclease, found in archaea, bacteria and eukarya as well as chloroplasts and mitochondria. Its best characterised activity is the generation of mature 5'-ends of tRNAs by cleaving the 5'-leader elements of precursor-tRNAs. Lineage: Bacteria; Bacillati; Candidatus Dormiibacterota. The record is from RNAcentral.
CGGGAGACCGGCUGGCUCGGUAAACCCCACCCGGAGCAAGACCGAAUAGGAGGACGAUACGGCUGGCUCGGCCGGUCCUCGGGUAAGGUCGCUAGAGUCGCCGGGCAACCGGCGACCGAGACGGAUGACUGCCGCCCCACGGCGCGCCGGCUAUGCCGGCUGAAGCGGGGAACAGAACUCGGCUUACCGGCGGACUCACUCU